AUUGAACGCUGGCGGCAUGCCUAACACAUGCAAGUCGAACGCGAAAGAGGGGCAACUCUUGAGUAGAGUGGCGGACGGGUGAGUAAUACGUAGGAAUCUUCCUUUAAGUGGGGGAUAACCACGCGAAAGCGCGGCUAAUACCUAAUAAUAUCUUCGGAUUAAAGCAGGGGACCGCAAGGCCUUGCGUUUUUAGAUGAGCUUACGCCGGAUUAGCUAGUGGGUGGGGUAAUGGCCUACCAAGGCGACGAUCCGUAGUUGGUUUGAGAGAACGACACGCCACACUGGAACUGAGAUGAGGCCCAGACUCCUACGCGAGGCAGCAGUGGGGAAUAUUGGACAAUGGAGGCAAGCCUGAUCCAGCGAUGCCGCGUGUGCGAUGAAGGCCUUCGGGUUGUAAAGCACUUUUAGUUGGAACAAAAUGCUCAAAGUUAAUACCUUGGAGUGUUGAUUUAACCUACAGAAAAAGCACCGGCUAACUCUGUGCCAGCCGCCGCGGUAA
This 499-nucleotide ribosomal RNA is filed under the name uncultured bacterium. RNAcentral's name for it is "partial 16S ribosomal RNA". It matches the Rfam family "Bacterial small subunit ribosomal RNA", at positions 30 to 523 of the family's 1533-position model. The record is from RNAcentral.